Molecule: long non-coding RNA, 848 nt
Organism: Fukomys damarensis (Damara mole-rat)
Lineage: Eukaryota; Metazoa; Chordata; Mammalia; Rodentia; Bathyergidae
Exons: 5
Source: RefSeq, a predicted model, not a curated record
CUGCAAGACUGUCCUCAGCAGUUCCUGUUAACCAGAGCACCCACACACAUGGCCUCACCAGCGUGAAAGUCUCAAGAGAGUGAGAAGUUGCACGGUGCCAGAAUCCAUGGAUAACAUAGGAUGCAUUGGUCAAGGUGUCAUCUUGGAAGUGGGGCUGGGCCAUUACCACAUACUGAAGCUGAUGGCGCCUAAAUCUUGGACUUCCCAGACUCCAGAACUUUCUGAGGCUAUUUGGAUACAAACAGCAUAUCAAAAAGGCUAUGACUACGUGUUGCCCAUAUGUGGAUAGUCUAAUGGAACAGAAGUUUCCGAGAUCUGUACUGCAUUCUUCCACACAUGGACAUCUUGGCUGAUUCUUUUUCAUAUUUUUAACUAGUAGACUUUAUGUUUCAGAGUAGUUUUAGAUUUACAAAAUAAUUGAGCAGAAAGCUAAAUAGUUCCCAUGUACUGUUUCCCCUUUUAUUAACAUGUUGCAUUGGAGUCUAUAUCUAUUAAAAUUAAUGAAUCAAUAUUGAUUAAUUAUUAGUAUCUGAACUCUAUAGUUUACAUUAGGUUUCACCUUUUCUGUUGUGUAAUUCAGUGGGUUUUGAAAAGUGUAUCUUGACACAUGUCCACCAUCACAAAAUUUCACAGAACAUUUUUCCUGCCUUAAGAAAGUCCCUGCCAUUACUCCUUUCCCUCCCCAACAGGUCCUGGCAAUCACUGAUGUUUCCUGUCUCUUUAAUUUGUCUUUUUAGAUUGUAUUAUAAAUGGCACUAUAAAACAUGUAGCCUUUUUAUACUGACUUAUUUUACUUACAAAUAUGCAUCUAAGUUUCCUCCAUGUCUUUCUGUGUCUUGAUAGCUCUU